CUACGGGGCGCUGCAGUGGGGAAUUUUGCGCAAUGGGGGCAACCCUGACGCAGCGAUACCGCGUGAGUGAAGAAGGCCUUUGGGUCGUAAAGCUCUUUUAUAAGGGAAGAUAGUGACGGUACCUUAUGAAUAAGCACCGGCUAACUCCGUGCCAGCAGCCGCGGUAAUACGGAGGGUGCGAGCGUUGUUCGGAUUUACUGGGCGUAAAGGGCGCGUAGGCGGCUUAACAAGUUAAGGGUGAAAUCCCGGGGCUUAACCCCGGAACUGCUCUUAAGACUGUUAGGCUAGAGAUGGUCAGAGGCGGGUGGAAUUCCAGGUGUAGAGGUGAAAUUCGUAGAUAUCUGGAGGAACACCGGAGGCGAAGGCGGCCCGCUGGGGCCAUUCUGACGCUGAGGCGCGAAAGCGUGGGGAGCGAACGGGAUUAGAUACCCUGGUAGUC
Molecule: ribosomal RNA, 439 nt
Filed under: uncultured bacterium
Lineage: Bacteria
Description: partial 16S ribosomal RNA
Rfam family: Bacterial small subunit ribosomal RNA
Source: RNAcentral